This 11481-nucleotide long non-coding RNA is filed under the name Populus trichocarpa (black cottonwood). RNAcentral describes it as "long non-coding RNA (PTRI_LNC002274)". The record is from RNAcentral. Lineage: Eukaryota; Viridiplantae; Streptophyta; Magnoliopsida; Malpighiales; Salicaceae.
UUGCUUUUGUAACCUACACGACCAGAGAAGGAGCAGAGAAGGCUGCAGAGCAGCUUGCUGACAAGCUAGUGAUAAAGGGUCCGAGGCUGAAGCUGCGGUGGUCAUGGCAAAAAGACGCUGUAUGCGUCGGCCAACCUGAAAGCCCAAACCUCAACGAUACAAAAAGAAAAAAAGAAGGCAGCAUGGAAUUAAGUAGGAUUAAUUAAAAUUUUAUUUGGUUUUUUUAGUUGAAAAUGUGUUAAAAUAAUAUUUUUUAUUUUUUAAAAUUUAUUUUUAAUAUUAUCAAAUAAAAAAUCAUAAAAUGUAUAUAAAAAAUAAUUUAAAAUAAAAAAAAUUCCCUUUUUUGCCUGUGUAAAAGUCUUUACUCUUUUUGCCAUAAUUUGGAGGGAUCGAUUGAACUUCCAUCUUGCUAAACUGAUCUGCUACUAUUCUAGACAAUAGAAAUUUCUUUGUUGUUCAUGUGAAUAGAAACACAUUAAGAUAUAUUUAUUUAUUUAUUUGACAUGAAGAUUAAUUGUUGACAUAUUUCCUCGAGGUAAAUUAAUAUAUUUUUAUAUAUAAUUUAUCCAAAUUUAAAUGGAAACGCUAAUUUAAAAAAAUAUCCACUCUUUUUUUUGCAUACUUUUAAUUAAAAAAAAUGAAUCUUACAAAAUAAUUUACAUUCAAUAAUAGAACAAGCAAAUUCAUUUUAUUUUAUUACCCCCAUAUUAUAUCUUUUCCUUUAUUUUCAUUCCUUUUCUUUUGUGCUUAUGCGUAAUUCACCUAGAAGCACCUAGAAAAACCCACGGUACGUAAGCCCAUGGGCUUACUUGUCAAACAGUCAAACUGAGGCAAGCCUGAACGCGGUCAGUCUGGACCGAAACCGUGUAUCCAUAAAUAUAAAUGCCUGGAGUUAAUCCACUUUUCCUCCUUACAAAAAUUUAUACGCCCUACCCUAGAUUCUAAAAUCCAAUCCAGUGUCGGAUUCGCGAAGGCGAAGAAGAUAAAUAACAGUUGCUUUAUUCAUCACAGGAAAAUCUGAACACGCCUGAAUCCGGCUUCGUAGUGUAAGAAUUCUUCUUCUUUUUUCUUGCAACGAUGUUUUUAAUGCUUCGAAAGGGGUUUUGUAAUUGCUUUUGAGUUUAUGUGAUUAGGUUAGCCUGAAUUAAUUACUUGUAUUUUUUUUUAGAAUUGAAUUUGCACUAUUUUGAUUUGUGUGACCAGAAGUAUAACAACAAUUUCUGGUAUCCAUCGCAGAGAUUAAGGCAGUGAAGUGUGUGUUUGACCUAGAAGAAAAAAGGGAAUGGCGCACAGGUUGUUAAAAGACCCGGAGGCUGACGGAUGGGAACGGUCUGACUUUCCUAUCAUUUGCGAGUCUUGCUUAGGUGACAAUCCCUAUGUCAGAAUGGUAUGCAAUAUUAAUCCUUGUUCCAAGUUGGGGUUUUUUGGGGGGGAGGGGCUUUGGCUGUUCUGUGUGGAUAUUUAUAUGAUUUGUUCCUUUGCGGUUGUAUGUACUUGGUGGGAUGCAGACCAGAGCUGACUUCGAUAAGGAAUGCAAGAUAUGUACUCGACCAUUUACAGUGUUUAGGUGGAGGCCUGGCAGGGAUGCGAGAUUUAAAAAGACUGAAGUUUGCCAGACUUGCAGUAAGUUGAAAAAUGUUUGUCAAGUCUGUCUUUUGGAUCUAGAGUAUGGUUUGCCUGUUCAAGUUCGUGAUACUGCUCUCAGUAUAAAUUCCAACGAUGCUAUUCCAAAGAGUGAUGUGAAUAGAGAGUAUUUUGCCGAGGAGCAUGACCGAAGGGUAUGUUUGUUUCAUGUUUUAACUCUAGUAUGUUUUAGUUGCUUUUUUGGCUGUAUGUGAUGUGAAGCUAUUUACUGUGUUGUGUGUUAGAAUUCUCCGGUUGUUAGGGUAUCACCAUUACUGGGUAACCGAUGAUUUCCAAGUAAAUGUUUACUUUCUAAUGGCUGUUUGUUGUAAUUUGGUAGUUAUGAAUUUCAAACUAUCAAAUAGCGUAAUCAGUGUGCGGUCCAGUUAGAUAUGCAUUCAAGGUUGUUCCACUGAGGUGGUGAUUGUUGCACUAAUUCUGUUCUGUUGUUCUCUUAUGCUGAAACUGAUAUGAUUUUGCUUGAUGCAGGCUAGGGCGGGUAUUGAUUAUGAGUCUUCAUAUGGAAAGGCUCAAGCAAAUGAUACUAUUCUGAAGCUUCAAAGAACAACACCAUACUACAAAAGAAAUCGAGCACAUGUUUGUAGCUUCUUUGCACGUGGUGAAUGCACACGAGGUGCCGAAUGCCCCUAUAGGCAUGAGAUGCCCAUAACUGGGGAGUUGUCACAGCAAAAUAUUAAAGAUCGUUAUUAUGGGUAAGUAGAAUGUUGUGAUUUCAUCCUCCAAGCAUAAUUAGCUUUAUUUAUGUUUUUCCUCUCUCCCUCUCUCUAUCUCUCGAAUGCAUGCAGGGGCAUAAACUCUCACGUUUACUAGCUCUUGCCUCUUGUCUCCCCUGUUCCUAAAUUGCUAUUUAAGAUCAUGAAGUGGUGCUAAAAAUGCUUCAUAACAUAUUUUACAAUCGGCAUCAACUUCAUUAUCACUUUUGGAUUCACUUUAAGUUUCAAAGUUGAUUUCUUUUUUUGUGGUCCUUUAGGCUGAUUUUGUAUUUUGGGCAAUUAUAUGAGCACGUAUGAUAUAAUACUUAGUUUAGCUGUAUGAUACAAUACUUAGUUUAGCUGAUGACUUUGUAACGCUUCUCACGAUCGAACUGAAAACUCCACCUCUACUCAACAAGUGCAGCUUUUUGACGUAUCUUUAACUCAAUUGCCCAUGAACUUCAAACUUGUGAAUGUCAAAAACAAUUUUUGUAGUGUCAAUGACCACACACAAGGUGAUUCUUCAUGCAUGCAUGCAUGUAUUCAUCCCCACUGAAACUAAGUACAAAGGCAUAUGAUUUCUGAAUUUUUAGAAGUUUGACUUCAUCUGAUUUUUAUACUUGUUUUUCUAAAUGCGUGAAGAGUGAAUGAUCCUGUGGCAAUGAAGCUACUCAACAAGGCUGGAGACAUGCCGUCAUUAGAACCACCAGAGGAUGAAAGCAUUAAAACGCUCUAUGUAGGUGGGCUUGAUGCGAGGAUCAAUGAGCAGGACCUAAGGGAUCAGUUUUAUGCUCAUGGCGAAAUUGAAUCCAUAAAAAUGGUGCCUCAAAGAGCAAUUGCUUUUGUAACCUACACAACCAGAGAAGGAGCAGAAAAGGCCGCAGCGGAGCUCUCUAACAGGCUAGUCAUCAAGGGUCUGCGUCUGAAAUUGAUGUGGGGUAGACCGCAAGCACCAAAACCUGAGUCGGAAAGUUCUGAUGAAGCAAGGCAGCAGGCAGCAAUGGCCCAUAGUGGGAUGUUGCCCCGUGCAGUUGUAUCUCAGCAACACAACCACUUAAAUCCACCCGGCACCCAGGACCAACAUCCUCCAAUGCACUACUUCAAUAUUCCCCCACCACCUCAGCAAGAACGAGCAUUUUACCCGUCAAUGGAUCCUCAAAGAAUGGGUGCCCUUGUUGGAUCCCAAGACGGUACUCCUAAUGGGCCUGCAGGAUCAGGUGAGAAUAAAUCUGGAUUGGAGAAGCAGCUCGGGCAGCACUAUCCAUAUCAAAGUAUGCCACCACCUCACGUGCAAUACCAACAACAAUACCAACAACAACAUUAUCCAGCAUAUGGUUAUAUGCCGCCAGUGCCACCGUAUCAGCAGUAUCCUCUGCCAUAUCACACUCCUGUGCCUCCCCCACAGGUGGUGCAAUCCACACAGCAGUAUCAGCAUCCUGUGCCACCGCCAAUGGCUGCACCUGCAGAGUCCAUGACCUCUGUGCCCCCACAUCAGGGAUCCCGAGAUCCUGCAGGGUCGAUGCCCUCCGAGCCCUCAUCUCAGGGAUCUGAAGCACCUGCAGGGUCCAAACGCUCCAGCCCACCAUCUCCGAGACCUGGAGAACCUGAAGAAUCUAAACCCUCAGGGCCCUUACCUUGAAUGCUGUUUAAGUUUUCUUGUGCUUGUAUUGUUGGUUGCAGUAAUUUGUUCAACAUACUAUCUGAUUAAGAAGGCGAGAACUUGCAUCAGAAUCUAUGAUCCAUGAGAAGUUGUGAUGCAAUUCAUAGGGAGCGUUUGUCCUUGUUUAGCAGGCUUCAUGUGCAAGUUUGAUCAGGAUCGGUGAUCGAGGUUCCCAUUAACGUCUAGCCAAGAUUUCAUGGGAGUUGGGCAUUCUAGCCAAGGUUUAAUUUGAAAAUAGUAUAGGUUCUCAUGACAUCGUGGUCGUUUAAUGUUAACUUCAAUUUUACGCAGCAAUAAAAAGUUUGCGUUAUUCAAGCACGGAUGAUAAAUAUUGUUCUUUAAAAAUGAUGUUUUAACUUUUAUGAAAUAAAUGUUGUUCUUUUCUUUUCUGAUGUGAUAAGGUGCUUGAUCAUUUGUUAUAUGUUGAAAUUAUUCUUGAUCAUCGGUGAUCAUCACAGUUAUAAUUAAAUUAGUUGAAUUAAAAAAAAAUGAUAGCAGUAAGAUAAAUAUUCACAAUACAGCAAGUAAAGAAGCUUCUCCCGUUUGUAGUCUUACAAUUUGAACACUAUUCUUUUAAUUUUCAGGAUAAUCCAACUUGCUGAAUCAUAAAUAAUUAAUAGUUUAAAGGGCUGGCUUGGUGAGUAAGAAUUUUUGCUUCAUUCUAGAUUUUUGAAAUUUAUUUAAAUUUAAGAACAUGUAUCAUUUGAAUGUACCAGAAUGAUUCGAGGGUGCGUUUUUAAAAUGGUUUAGUAACAGAUUUAGUCUUAGUUGAUCCAGAUUAACUCGAAUAUCCUUACUGCACAUACAAAAAAAUUUAGCCAACAUCACUGUUGGCUAAGCUCAACUGUUUCUUGAAAAUAAAAGCUUUAAACUUGUUCAUCCUGCACUAAACACGUCUUAGAGUAAACGAGCCAUCUAAGUCGGGUUUUGUUAUGAGUAAUAAUUUUUUUAAAAAAAUAUUAGUUAUGCAUGCUCCUUCAAUAUAUUUUUUAACAUAAAAAAAUUUAAAAUAUAAAUUAAAAAGUUUAUGCAAGUAUCUCAUUAAAUAAAUUAAUAAUCAUUUAUAUAAUUAAAUGGAAAAAACCAAAAGAGAAAUUGAUAAAAUUAAGAGUGUAAAUUAAGAUAUCCAAUCACAUAAAAUAAAAUAUUAACCUAAUUGUUUUUACUGAAUUUGUUUAUUAAAAUCAAUAAAAAAUAAAUCCACAACCUAAAGAACUCAUGACUUAAAAGAUAAACACAAAUAAAACUGACAAAUAAACUUAUGCCAUAAAAAAAUAUUAUGCAAAGUCAAACACAUCAACAAUAUUAUUUAAAAAUAAAUAUUUUUUAUUUUUAAAAAUCAACUUCAUUUGUAUAAAACACAAAAAAAUUCUAAAUAAAUUAGCUAACAUCUUGAAAAACAAAACAUGUUUUAAAAAGGAAACAAUAUUAAAAAUAAAUAAAUGCAGAGUGAUAAGAUCGUAUGAAGUCAAAUCUCUAACAAAUCAAAUGUUGAAAGAUGAAAUCAAUAAAAAAAAAUCAAUUGCACAAAAUGAUUUAAAAAAUAAGAGUGAAAAAAAAACAUUGAUUAUAGGGCAAUUAAAAAUUUGAUUUGAUAUGUGCUCCGUAACGGGUCAUAAUUUUUCUUUCUAAAAAAACUUGAGCAUACAGACUUAUCUAGAUUCAUUUUUUUUCAUGAAAUAAAUUAUAAAUGUAAAUAAAAAAUUUUAUCCAAAAAUCUAAUAUCAUCUAUGUAAAUAAAUUAAUUUUUUUUGUUAAUAAUAACUAAAAGAGAAACAGAGAAAAAUGAGAAAUGAACAUAAAUUAAGAUAUUUGAUAUCAUAAAAUAAAACAUUUACUUAUUUGUGUUCACUAAAUUUGUUCAUACCAAUCAAUAAAAGAUAAUAAAAAUAAAAACACAUAUGAAACAAAGUAAAUAAAAUAAAAGGACAAAAAAUAUGCAUAGCCGAGAAUAUAUGAAAUAUUAUUUCAAAAUAACUAUUUUUUAUGAUCAAUUGUAAUGGCUAGAUUGAAACUAAUAUAUGAUCAAUUGUAAUGGCUAGAUUGAAAAUAUAAAAAACUUUUCUAAAAGAGUCAAUGAUAAAAAUAAACAAUAAAAAACACAGGGACUAAAAUUGAAAAAUAAAAAAUAAAAGGGACAAAUAUGCACUUUAACUAGAAGAGAGAGAAAAGCAUGCAAGAAAAAGAAGAAACGACCACUGGCGACAAACUGUCGGAUCACCACCGACACACUCUACACCGGGAGGAAGAUCACAUGACGGCGCUUCUAGUGACAUGGAGGAAGGCCAUUUUUGGAUAAACAGUGGUGUCGCAUGUGACGUCGAAAAAGCGCAGACGCAGUCAUUGCGUGGAAAAUACGCACCAACAGCUUUUCAUUAUUUAAUAUUAAAAAAUAAGGUUAAUUACUAUAAAAAACCCUCAUGACCUUGGAAAUAACAAAUAAAACCAAUAUGAAAAUACCAAAAUACCCCUGUAUGCAUAGAGGCUAUUUUAUCUUAUAUACGGGCAAAUAUAUAUUUUAUUGAUUUUCAAGUUUGUGCAAAGUCAGAAACACCUUUGGUCAACAAGUUUAAAUUUCAUUGACCUUGAAGGCAAAAUAGUAUUUUUACUGUACAAAAUAAUAUGCAAAGAAAAUAAUACUCAUGUUCAAUCUUUUAAUGACUAAUGGGUCAACGUAAAAGGACCAAAAUACCCACAUGCCCUAACCUUCUAACUUUUUCAUGAGAGACACAAAAGUAAAUUUACUAUAACAAUCCAUAGUGAACUGAGUCUAUUGCUAUAAUGAAUUCACUAGAUUUUAUGUCCACACGAUAUGACGCAUAAUAAAUUUCAAAAUUAAUUGUUAUUUAAUUUAAUAAAAAUUAAAAAAAAUAUUUGUAUAAAUUUCGAGGAUUUAACUUUUAAAUAAGAAAUGUGUUUCUUAAGUAGAAGUCCACAUUCCUUAUUUAAACAUUUUUUUUUAUUUCAACGAAAAAUAUCUUUUUCUGUCACCAUCAUUUUUUUAUAAUAAAACUUAAGAUAAUUUUAAUUUAUAUCAAGAAGGGAGAAAAUUUUAUUAAAUGAGGCAAAACAACAACAUCUCCUCUCCUUCUCCUCCUCCUUCACCACCACCACCUUUGAAUUUUUUUUUUUAAAUUAAAACUUAUUAUAAUCUAAAACACAAGUUUCAAACAAAAAACAAAAAUCAUGUCCUUAAAAUGUUUAUGUCGUGAUAUGAAAAAAAUAAUUCAUUCAUAAAAACUAUAUAAAAAAAGUAGCAAUAAAAAAAUUAAAAUACCCUCAUAUAUAUUAUAACCAUCACGAAUUUGAUUAAAAGAUAUUGAUUGAAAUCCGUUUCCCAUCUCCUUUUCUCUUUAACAACAACAAGCAAUCUAUUUUCCAUAUCUUUGCCAAACAAAAUUAAUUUUUUAUUUAUUUAUGAAUACAUAGAGAAUGGGACUCGUAUUCUAUUAUGUUUGUACUGGCAUUUUAUCAAACAGAGCAGCAAGAAAAAAAAAGGGCCUAGUAAAGAAAAAAAAGGCAGAAGCAAUUUUAGAGCAGAUCAACGAACUGGGUCCUUCUUCUUUUUAGCAAGGAACUUGGAAAGGCACCUGUGAAUAUUUUCGGCCUUUGGCCACAUGUUGUCAUAUUUCCAUUUCUCCAAAGCUUUAGCCAAAGCUAGAGUCCAUGUCUCUUUCGUAUCAACUCCCACCACGCUCGGCACCCCUGAUAAAAUCACUGGAACCUCAUCUGCAAUCUUUGAUGUUAAGUUUGCCUGUGAUCUCUUGAAGCACCCCUUCAAGCAGUUUGUCGCCGAGAAAUCAUCCAAUUGGAUAAUUAGUGAUUUUUGUUUUCACUGGGUUUUUGAUAUUGCAGAAGAAUAUGAUAUCCGAGUAAUACACUUUUCAAUUCUCUGUGAAACCUUGAAAGAUUUCCUGGGACCUGCCGAGUAUCUUGUUGGUGACCGUCUAAAAUCAAUCUAAUUUGGGUUUCGUUGGAGGUCUAGGUUUGGAAUUGUCUAAAAUCAAUCAAAUCAAUUCUGUAAGAGAUACGGGUGGCUAGGGUAAAGGAGUUUUUUUUUUUUUAAUUAAAUGGCUAUUUUGUAAUUUAUAAUUUUAAAAUUGUAAAGAUUAUUUAGUUAUUAAAUAAAAUAUAAUGAUAAUUUUAUAAAUAAUUAAAUAAUUUUUAUUGACUUUUCUCGACAGUAUGGGAAGCGAAUGUAAACUAUCAUACUGACGACAAAGUUUAGAAUUCAAAUUAUAAUUUUUCACUAAACUAUAUAAUUUAUUUUCAUCCUUUUCUUUUGGGCCUACGCGUAUUUACCUUUAAACACCUUGAAAAACCCAUAGUACGUAAGCCCAUGGACUUACUUGUCAAACCAGUCAACAAAGGCAAGCCUAAACACGGUCAGUCUGGGCCGACACCAUCUAUAUAUAUAAAAGCCUGGAGUUAAUUCACUCUUCCUCUUUAACAAUUUAAAGAACACCCUGCCCUAGAUUCUAAAAUCCAAUUGAUUGUCGGAUUCGCGAAGAAGAUAAAUAACUAUUGGUUUAUUCAUCACAGGAAAAUCUGAACACGCCAGAUUCCGGCUUUUUAGGGUAAGAUUUCUUCUCCUUUUCUAGCAACGUUGUUUUUAAUGCUUCAAAAGGGGUUUUGUAAUUGCUUUUGAGAUUAUGUCAUUGGGUUAAGCCUGAAUUAAUUACCUGUGUUUUGUUUUUUUUAUAUAUAUAUAUAUAUUUUUUGAGAAUUGAAUUUACAAUAUUUUGAUUUGUGUGACCAGAAGUAUAACAACAAUUUCUGGUAUACAUCGCAGAGAUUAGGGCAGUGAAGUGUGUGUUUGACCUAGAAGAAAAAAGGGAAUGGCGCACAGGUUGUUAAAAGACCCGGAGGCUGACGGAUGGGAACGGUCUGACUUUCCUAUCAUUUGCGAGUCUUGCUUAGGUGACAAUCCCUAUGUCAGAAUGGUAUGCAAUAUUAAUCCUUGUUCCAAGUUGGGUUUUUUUGGGGGGGAGGGGCUUUGGCUGUGCUGUGUGGAUAUUUAUAUGAUUUGUUCCUUUGCGGUUGUAUGUACUUGGUGGGAUGCAGACCAGAGCUGACUUCGAUAAGGAAUGCAAGAUAUGUACUCGACCAUUUACAGUGUUUAGGUGGAGGCCUGGCAGGGAUGCGAGAUUUAAAAAGACUGAAGUUUGCCAGACUUGCAGUAAGUUGAAAAAUGUUUGUCAAGUCUGUCUUUUGGAUCUAGAGUAUGGUUUGCCUGUUCAAGUUCGUGAUACUGCUCUCAGUAUAAAUUCCAACGAUGCUAUUCCAAAGAGUGAUGUGAAUAGAGAGUAUUUUGCCGAGGAGCAUGACCGAAGGGUAUGUUUGUUUCAUGUUUUAACUCUAGUAUGUUUUAGUUGCUUUUUUGGCUGUAUGUGAUGUGAAGCUAUUUACUGUGUUGUGUGUUAGAAUUCUCGGGUUGUUAGGGUAUCACCAUUACUGGGUAACCGAUGAUUUCCAAGUAAAUGUUUACUUUCUAGUGGCUGUUGAUGUAAUUUUGACAUGUAGUUGUUAGAAUGAACUGAUGAUGCAGCUACUAUAUAUGAAACCCACAUUUGUUAUUUGCAGCAUGCUUGUUGCCAUGGGACGUCUUUUUUUCUUAUGAAUGAAUCAUAUUGCAUAUACCAUAUAAUAGCAGUGAAAGAUAUCAAUUUCCCAUUUUUAUUUGUACUGGUACUUUUUAUUUAAGAGUCGUGUUUUAUAUGAACUGCUGAGCAUGUUUUAUAUGAACUAGAUGCUGAGAUUCACAUUAGACUAAUAUGUUUUAGAUGAAACUUGGCAGGCCUUUUAUCUUUAAAUAAAAUGAUAAUGUAAACAUAAUACUUGAUGUUACACUUGCAGAUACUUAACAAUGUGAGUUAUUGUGCAAUGAAAAUUAUGUAUCUAAAUUAUUUUAUUUAACUACAAUUAAUGCAAGUUAUUCGAUUCACAUAAGUACGAAUACUAAAAUUAUAGUUACAUACCAAAACCUUUAUCUGUACCUUUGAUCAUUCAUUUAAUAACCAAGGAGGUCCUUUGAUCCUGUCUCCCUCCUAUUGUAGUUAUGGAUUUCAAACUAUCUAAUAGCCUAAUCAGUGUGCAGUUCAGUUAGUUAUGCAUUCAAGGUUGUUCCACUGAGAUGGUGAUUGUUACAAUAAUUCUGUUCUGUUGUUCUCUUAAGUGAAGCUGAUAUGAUUUUGCUUGAUGCAGGCUAGGGCGGGAAUUGAUUAUGAAUCUUCAUAUGGAAAGGCACAAGCAAAUGAUACUAUUCUGAAGCUUCAAAGAACAACACCAUACUACAAAAGAAAUCGAGCACAUGUUUGUAGCUUCUUUGCACGUGGUGAAUGCACACGAGGUGCCGAGUGCCCCUAUAGGCAUGAGAUGCCCAUAACUGGGGAGUUGUCACAACAAAAUAUUAAAGAUCGUUACUAUGGGUACGUAGAAUGUUGUAAUUUCAUCCUCCAAGCAUAAUUAGCUUUAUUUAUGUUUUUCCUCUCUCCAUCUCUGGCAUGCAUGCAGGGGUGUACACUCAUGAUUGCUAGCUCUUGCCCUUUGGCUCCCCUGUUCCUGAAUUGUUAUUUGAGUUUCAAAUUUGAUUUCUUUGUUUGUGGUCCUUUAGGUGGAUUAUUGUAUUUUGGGCAAUUAAAUGAGUACGAAUGAUAUAAAACUUAGUUUAGCUGAUGACUUUGUAAUGCUUCUCACGAUGGAACCGAAAACCACGCACAAGUUGAUUCUGCAUGCAUGCAUGUAUCCAUCCCCACUGAAACUAAGUACAAAGGCAUAUGAUUUCUGAAUUUUUAGAAGUUUGACUUCAUCUGAUUUUUAUACUUGUUUUUCUAAAUGCGUGAAGAGUGAAUGAUCCUGUGGCAAUGAAGCUACUCAACAAGGCUGGAGACAUGCCGUCAUUAGAACCACCAGAGGAUGAAAGCAUUAAAACGCUCUAUGUAGGUGGGCUUGAUGCGAGGAUCAAUGAGCAGGACCUAAGGGAUCAGUUUUAUGCUCAUGGCGAAAUUGAAUCCAUAAAAAUGGUGCCUCAAAGAGCAAUUGCUUUUGUAACCUACACAACCAGAGAAGGAGCAGAAAAGGCCGCAGCGGAGCUCUCUAACAGGCUAGUCAUCAAGGGUCUGCGUCUGAAAUUGAUGUGGGGUAGACCGCAAGCACCAAAACCUGAGUCGGAAAGUUCUGAUGAAGCAAGGCAGCAGGCAGCAAUGGCCCAUAGUGGGAUGUUGCCCCGUGCAGUUGUAUCUCAGCAACACAACCACUUAAAUCCACCAGGCACCCAGGACCAACAUCCUCCAAUGCACUACUUCAAUAUUCCCCCACCACCUCAGCAAGAACGAGCAUUUUACCCGUCAAUGGAUCCUCAAAGAAUGGGUGCCCUUGUUGGAUCCCAAGACGGUACUCCUAAUGGGCCUGCAGGAUCAGGUGAGAAUAAAUCUGGAUUGGAGAAGCAGCUCGGGCAGCACUAUCCAUAUCAAAGUAUGCCACCAC